Cucumis melo (muskmelon) is the source of this 688-nucleotide long non-coding RNA. RefSeq lists it as uncharacterized. The transcript is spliced from 2 exons. The record is from RefSeq and is a predicted model, not a curated record. NCBI's taxonomy places the organism in Eukaryota, Viridiplantae, Streptophyta, Magnoliopsida, Cucurbitales, Cucurbitaceae.
AUGCAAAUAAAAUAAGAGAAGCGGUAGGCGAUUGAGAAGAGAGAGAAGCACGUGGGAAAAAAAAAGGGUAUGGAGCGCGUGUGUAUCUUCAAAUGUUUACACAAUCACAUCGGGAAACGGCGGAGUUUGUUGUACGAAUGACGGCUUUUCUCUCUUCACCGCAUCUUUAUCCCUUUUUAAUUCUCUAACUUCUUCAUGUUUUGACGUGAUUUUCUCUUCUUCUUCAUCUCUCCAAAACAGAUCCCUUCUUCACGCCAUCCUCUCAGUCCUCUCCCACAAUCUCUCUAGCUCCUGCUUGAUGGUUUUGGAGGUUGAAACAUCAAUUUUUAGUCUACUGUUUACUUGGGGAAUGACAAUGAAGAGCCUAAUUGAGGAGUAAAAGAAAGGAAUUUCAGCAGUGGGAGGAAGUUUUUCUUACCUUCUCUUACAUGGAGAUGAGGUUCAACUACUUUACUUGACCAAACGAAUUACUAUGCUGAUUUCUUGCUGAAGCAAAAACACUUUUAGCGGAUCAGAUAGCCAUGUUGCUUUGAGAGACAAUCAUUCAAACCUCAGACACUACUCUGGUUGUAACAAAAUGGGCUAUGUAUAUAUGAACUUGCAAAAGAUCCGUAAUACAUUAUGAAGUUAAUAAUUAAGCAAUCGCUGGUAAACAUAGUUGAAGUUAUAAAAAGCAUUUUGUGCUCUA